This 468-nucleotide ribosomal RNA is filed under the name uncultured bacterium. Its description in RNAcentral is "partial 16S ribosomal RNA". It matches the Rfam family "Bacterial small subunit ribosomal RNA", at positions 28 to 507 of the family's 1533-position model. The record is from RNAcentral.
GACGAACGCUGGCGGCGUGCUUAACACAUGCAAGUCGAACGGAAAGGCCCUGCUUUUGUGGGGUGCUCGAGUGGCGAACGGGUGAGUAACACGUGAGUAACCUGCCCUUGACUUUGGGAUAACUUCAGGAAACUGGGGCUAAUACCGGAUAGGAGCUCCUGCUGCAUGGUGGGGGUUGGAAAGUUUCGGCGGUUGGGGAUGGACUGGCGGCUUAUCAGCUUGUUGGUGGGGUAGUGGCUUACCAAGGCUUUGACGGGUAGCCGGCCUGAGAGGGUGACCGGCGACCUUGGGACUGAGAUACGGCGCAGACUCCUACGGGAGGCAGCAGUGGGGAAUAUUGCACAAUGGGCGGAAGCCUGAUGCAGCAACGCCGCGUGCGGGAUGACGGUCUUCGGGUUGUAAACCGCUUUCGCCUGUGACGAAGCGUGAGUGACGGUAAUGGGUAAAGAAGCACCGGCUAACUACGUG